This 895-nucleotide ribosomal RNA is filed under the name uncultured bacterium. Its description in RNAcentral is "bacterial SSU rRNA". It matches the Rfam family "Bacterial small subunit ribosomal RNA", at positions 13 to 919 of the family's 1533-position model. The record is from RNAcentral.
UUGAUCAUGGCUCAGGAUGAACGCUGGCGGCGUGCCCAACACAUGCAAGUCGAACGGGAGUACACAUCUUCGGAAGUGUAUGAGAGCGGCGCACGGGUGAGUAACACGUAGCUUAUCUGCCCUGAAGAGCGGGAUAACGCACCGAAAGGUGUGCUAAUACCGCAUAAGCUCACGGUUUGUAGAGGAUUGUGAGAAAAGCUGAGGCGCUUUGGGAUGAGGCUGCGGCCCAUCAGCUAGUUGGUAAGGUAAAGGCUUACCAAGGCAACGACGGGUAGGGGGCCUGAGAGGGUGACCCCCCACACUGGGACUGAGACACGGCCCAGACUCCUACGGGAGGCAGCAGUGAGGAAUAUUGCACAAUGGGCGCAAGCCUGAUGCAGCGACGCCGCGUGGGUGAUGAAGGUUUUCGGAUCGUAAAGCCCUUUUCUUGGUGACGAGAGAGGACGGUAGCCAAGGAAAAAGUGUCGGCUAACUACGUGCCAGCAGCCGCGGUAAAACGUAGGACGCAAGCGUUAUCCGGAAUUACUGGGCGUAAAGCGCGCGCAGGCGGGUUGACAAGUCAUGCGUGAAAGCUCCCGGCUAAACUGGGAGAGGUCGGAUGAGACUGUCAGUCUGGAGUAGGUCAGAGGCGUGUGGAAUUCCGCGUGUAGUGGUGAAAUGCGUAGAGAUGCGGAGGAACACCAGUGGCGAAGGCGGCACGCUGGGGCCUGACUGACGCUGAGGCGCGAAAGCAUGGGUAGCGAACGGGAUUAGAAACCCCGGUAGUCCAUGCCGUAAACGAUGUACACUAGAUGUUCGUGCAGCUACGGUUGUGUGAGUGUCGAAGCAAACGCGGUAAGUGUACCGCCUGGGCGAGUACGGUCGCAAGGCUAAAACUCAAAGGAAUUGACGGAUC